Molecule: long non-coding RNA, 238 nt
Filed under: Mytilus galloprovincialis (Mediterranean mussel)
Lineage: Eukaryota; Metazoa; Mollusca; Bivalvia; Mytilida; Mytilidae
Source: RNAcentral
AUUAACAAAUUGUAAAGAAACUAAGGUUUCAACUCCUUCAAUCAAAGUUGGUCUCAGAUGAAUGUUGGCUAUUUAUUACGUCUUUCUUAGUUAUAUAACUGUUCAACUAUUCAUCCUUGACUUCAAAUAUUAGGCUUUAAGAGUUCCUGGUAAAGGUUAAUCCAGAAAAACGCCUAAGAUAUAUGAAGUUAUUUGAUUUGAACAUGGAUAAACUACUGCCGCCUAAGUUUAUUAUAUA